GAUGAACGCUGACAGAAUGCUUAACACAUGCAAGUCGAUUCGAUUUACCUUCGGGUAUUGAGGAUGGCGGACGGGUGAGUAACGCGUAAGGAACUUGCCUCUUGGUCUGGGACAACUGUUGGAAACGACAGCUAAUACCGGAUAUUAUGAGAUUCUCGCAUGGGAAACUUAUGAAAGCUAUAUGCGCCAAGAGAGAGCCUUGCGUUCCAUUAGCUAGUUGGUGGGGUAACGGCCCACCAAGGCGACGAUGGAUAGCCGGCCUGAGAGGGUGAACGGCCACAAGGGGACUGAGACACGGCCCUUACUCCUACGGGAGGCAGCAGUGGGGAAUAUUGGACAAUGGGCCACAAGCCUGAUCCAGCAAUUCUGUGUGCACGAUGAAGGUCUUCGGAUUGUAAAGUGCUUUCAGUUGGGAAGAAGAAAGUGACGGUACCAACAGAAGAAGCGACGGCUAAAUACGUGCCAGCAGCCGCGGUAAUACGUAUGUCGCAAGCGUUAUCCGGAUUUAUUGGGCGUAAAGCGCGUCUAGGCGGAAAAAUAAGUCUGAUGUUAAAAUGCGGGGCUCAACUCCGUAUUGCGUUGGAAACUGUUUUUCUAGAGUACUGGAGAGGUGGGCGGAACUACAAGUGUAGAGGUGAAAUUCGUAGAUAUUUGUAGGAAUGCCGAUGGAGAAGUCAGCUCACUGGACAGAUACUGACGCUNAAGCNCGAAAGCGUGGGGAGCAAACAGGAUUAGAUACCCUGGUAGUCCACGCCGUANCGAUGAUCACUAGGU
RNAcentral lists this ribosomal RNA (774 nucleotides) under uncultured prokaryote. RNAcentral's name for it is "bacterial SSU rRNA". It matches the Rfam family "Bacterial small subunit ribosomal RNA", at positions 28 to 821 of the family's 1533-position model. The record is from RNAcentral.